Molecule: transfer RNA, 77 nt
Filed under: Desulfobulbaceae bacterium
Lineage: Bacteria; Pseudomonadati; Thermodesulfobacteriota; Desulfobulbia; Desulfobulbales; Desulfobulbaceae
Description: tRNA-Val
Rfam family: tRNA
About the family: Transfer RNA (tRNA) molecules are approximately 80 nucleotides in length. Their secondary structure includes four short double-helical elements and three loops (D, anti-codon, and T loops).
Source: RNAcentral
AGGCGCGUAGCUCAGUUGGUUAGAGCGCUUGCUCGACACGCAAGAGGUCAGCGGUUCGACUCCGCUCGUGCCUACCA